UCCUCUUCUUGUGUAAUAAUUCCACAAUUUUCUUCCCAUUGUGGUCACCUGGAAAUUCCAAUGCUCAUGUGAUCAUAUGACAACUUCCAACCGGGGAGAGUGAAGGCGCUUCCUCCGAGACAUACAAAGCCAAAAAAACACGUUUUAUGUUUUCAAACUGCUGCUUAUGCUGCGUCACAGGGCAGAGUAACACACUCAAAGGAAAGCACUAUCUGCCCUCUUCCAAAUGCAGAUGCCCAUGAUUGGCUAGUGUCACUGUGACUGACAGGUACAGAAAGGAUGCCAUCCAUCCCACCAGAAAGCAUGGCUAAUUUCACUUCCUUCCCUGCCAGCCAAAGAUGGCUAUGGAUUCGUCAGGAUUCAAACGUGCAAUCUCCUGACAAUAGGGUGAACGCUUUUAUGUUGCUCCACUCAGGAGCCAAUCUCCUGUUUGUUUACACUCUCACAGGCUCACAUUCUCUGUCUCCUGAGCUGCCUGUCACUGUGUAGCCUUGUUUCAUGCCUAAAGUUUGGACGUGAUGACAUUUGACAAAUCUGAGCAUUUGUCAUAACUGUGUAUACGUUUCCCUCCAGUUCCAACCCGACACCCCUAACACAACAAUGACUGUGAGAAUUACAAGAUUGUCAGGAUGUAACUCACAGCAGCUCAGGAGCACUAUAUAGUGUAGAACACACUGCAUUGUUUGUUCUCUCCUGACUCAAUAAACAUGACGCAAAAUCCUACGUGCUGUUGCCUUAAUGUAACAGUGGCAAAACUGGCCUCAGAUGUUUACCACACAUUCACACCUCCUCUGGCACUGUGAAGCUGUGAAAAGCUACACUCACAUGUAUCCUGCUAUAUGAACAAACAAAAUUGUUUUUAUUUUAUGCUCAUAUUGUAUUUUUUUUUGUGCACUUUUUUGAUGUAUCUCACAGCCUUUAAUUGGUGUUAUUUUGAAAGCACAGUUCUACAUUCUGAGUCUCACAGAGAUCUAAAUUUGCAAUGGUUAUCAAGGACAAAUAGUAGACACAAAACCUAUUUUACAUGUUAUCUUUUAGCUGUCCUUUGUAUGUUCUGUAAUUCAUAAAAUUAUUCUUUGUAAAUCAGUCAUAACUUUUUGCAUACACUAUGCAAAAAGUAUAUAUAAUUUCUGCCCAUGCACAUACAAAUUAGUACAUUAUUUAGGAUCGUAUUAAAUCAGGGCCUAACUGUACACCACACACAUAUAUGCAAUUCUUUCCAUUUCACUCAUGCUUGUAAACCUCCAUAAACCCUUCACACUUUGAGUCACAUGGAUUUAGGAACCCCGCUAAUCUCUAAACACCCCCCCCCACACACACACAGACACACACACACACACACGUGUGCAUUCAUGCAUCCCACAAAUAUCUCCUUCACUCUGACGCACAGUUAGAUACCCACCAACACACUCUCUCACCCUGCAACUACAACCUCAUUUCUAUUCAGCUCUCAAACGAAUCUUUGUUUCUCCUUUUUCGUAAACCACACUUCAUCUCAGCCUUCUUAUAUGUGUGGAAAAGUGCAGAAAAACUGCCUGAAGUAACAAGUGAGACAAACAGUAAGAGGAAGUCCAGAUUAAGGAGAUGGUUAGAUAGAAAGACGAGAGCGAGAAUGAGAGAGACCGACAGAGAGAGAAGUGAGUUAGGGGAGGAGAACGCCAUUAGGGAGAAAGUGCGUAGUCAUGCUGCAGGAAUGCUGGAGGGGAGAUGGCUGGCGUGACUGCCGCCAUUUUUCACAGCCUUAAUCAGAGACACCUGUCAGUGUGCGAGGCGGAGGAGUGGAGUGGGAUAGUGUAGAGGGGGCAGAAGUGGAGUUGGAGUGCCUGCUGUGCUUGGUGGAGCUGGAGUCCACAUGAGGUUUAUUUAUUUUUCUUUAGCAGAGCAGAGGGAGAGGGUGGAGAGAAAAGAGAGGAUAGAGUCAGGCAGAGCUCUCUAAAGGGGGCAGGGUGAGUCUUCCAUCCUUCCUUCCUUCCUGCUGCUGCUGUGCUGCUGGCCUGCAUUGAGCAGAAUAUAUGACCAUCUCCUUGUCAUAGUGUAAUUUCUCUAGCCACGGUGUAAUCUCAUACUCAUCUGAAAUUACAACCAUUUGUGUUAAUGGUACUUUGAUAUACUACUAUAUAUCUCCCAAACACAUUUAAGCCAUUAAAGUGUAAUCAAAGUGCUUUAUUUUUAGUGGGGGUGUUUAUUAUGUUGUUUGUAUCGCCACAUAUUAGAGUGUAUUAGAGUCUAUUAGAGUGCUAUAUAUCAUACACACCCAGUGAACACAUCUCUCCAUGCAUUUCUGAAUAUGACCACAUCUUCUUUAUGCAUCAUAUUAGAAUUGAGUGAAGUCACUGAGCUCCUUUGUCAACAUAAGGAUGCAUAUAUUUAUGUUUGUGUGGAUACAUAAUAGAAACUUGAGGGAGGGAAGCAUCACCACAGAGAGAUGUGUAAACAUCGGCACAGGAAGGCUGGCUCAGUUUAAAUAGGACAAACAUUUAUGCAAUAGAGUGAAGGUGAAAUAAGCAAGCUUCUAGUUUGUUUAUGUGCACUGAAAUGUGUAUUGUGGAAUGGGUUUGGUCUGCCAUGGCAACUUUUAAUGAGCUUACUAAUGUUUCUUCAUUUGUUCCAACCAAAACUUCCUUCUUCAUGGAGUUUGCAAAGUGUUUCACAGUACAUUUAUUUACAUUUAUUUAUUUGGCAAGCCCUUUUAUACAAAAUAAUCCAAGCAUACUGCUGAGCAAUUGAGAGUCAAGGGCCUUGCCCAAGGAUCCAGCACUGACUCUCUAGCAGGCCUAGGAGUUGAACACACAAGUUAGUAGAACAGACCCUUAAGCACUGAGCCAGCACUGCUGCUAAAGUAAGCUCCGAUAAGAAUACUGAUGUCAGGUGCUGAUUCGCUCAGCGACUGCUGGAAGGAGAAGGCUUGGACAGGGAUCAGACACUUGGCUCGGACCCCAUUUUCCAUAAUAUAUUCUUCUCAAAUGGACUAUAUGCACUAGAUAAAAUGCAGAUGAUGAUGGAUACUGAAAUAAAGUAAGCCAUUGAUAAAUCAAUGAAAUGUGAACAAAGUUCUAGUCAGAACUAAAAGGAAGUCAAUAUAGCAACUAUUUCCAGUACGUACUGAUUAAUGAUUAGCGAGUAUUAAGUAAAUUAGGUUACUGCUAGACCAAACUCUUUUGCCUACACUGUUUGUUUAAUUCCCCUUCAAAUGAAAUAGGCUUAAAAACCUAUAAAAUCCUUAAACUCCUAGUACCCAUUGGUGGGUGCCGACUUACAGUACAUUCCUCUUUUAACUGCAUAUUGGGGUGUAAAGAAAUGCCUCUAUCUGUAUCUGUAUCUACAUCUGUUUAGUGCUCCAAAUAAUCUUAUCUGUAUCUGUAUUCGAAUGAAUACCUGAAGUGGAUGUGGCCUAAACCAGAAAGAAUAUGUGCUCAUGCAGGUUUUAUGUUUGUUUGCACCUGACCACAACAUUUUCUAACCAGUUUAGUUGGUUCUAUUUGUCAAAAUAUAGGUUUAAACAAACUAGUAGCCUAAUUUAAACAACUGUAACACUAACCAGGCAGUUACUAAGGAUACAUGAAUGAAAGCUGUAAAUUAAUGUAUAAUUUACUGCUCACAUGACAUUUUUGUUGUCAUGUGGGAUAGCAGUCCCGAUCCUCAGCUCUUCUCUCAACCAGAUUAUGCCAUGUGAACCUUUCUGGCAAAUAAAAAACAAUAGUGCACCUCCUAUUUGUGUCUGUAUUUAGAACACAUUAUCUGUUCAUUCAGAAUAAUGUAUUUGUAUGGUUAAUUAGGUGUUCUGUUGUUACUGAAUGAAUCAUAUUAGUUACUGAAUACUACGUUGAAUAAUAAGCUUAGACUUCAAGGGGUUAAUGUAAACAUAGUACUGUUUUGCAGGCUGUGACCACACAUUCUGAUGUUUUCGGUGUUUACCAAGACCACAGCAAGUGUGAUCAAACCUGACCAAAGAGGACGUGUUUGUGUUCUAUUUUGGUCUUGAAGAACUCCCCUCUGUUUUCAUUUCCUGUGCACAUGACCAUAUCUGAUUAUUGUAGUCCCUCAUCUGUCUGACAGCCCCCACAUGUCUGGUUAUGUGGUUACGUGUGUAAUUUCUAUAUGAAUUUAAAACAUAAACGUCUCUCCUUUGUCCUCACAUACACUCUGUUAUCAGGCCUUGGGUUCAGCCUGACACUACCCCGACCUCUUUUUUUGACCUCCAUAGACCAAAGCUCAGAACCACUGUGGCCCAAUCCUGCUGGGAUUAUUUAUCAGCACAUCUCCCUAUUGCUAAACACACUCUGUGGCUUUUGUCACAUUCUAAGAGCCAAUGCAAACGUCCCAGUGAAAUUCCAGUCCAUUUCAGAAAUGUUUUCUUUAAUUCCAAGACAUAGUCAAGAUACAAUUAGCAUAUUUGCUUAUCAUUGAUAUUUAAUCAAAUUAAAAGUUAUCAACAAGAGAGAUUUCCCCAGGAGCUGGGGGGCUUUCUUGGUACUUUCCGAGCCACUCUGAUUCCUCUGCUGGCAGAGCUGUUUGGUGUCAGAUUGUUUACUUACUGCUGAGUCCCGUCACUAUGAGUCAUCCAGUGAACCUGGUCCUUUAGAGAGUUCAACAGUCAACUUUAAUGUUUCACAAUGCCUGCUGGCCUCUGAGGUCUCUCUCUCUCUCUCUCUCUCUCUCUCUCUCUCUGUCUGUCUGUCUGUAUGGGCAGUGUGUCAGUAAAACUUCUGCCCAUUGUUUGUGUUUGUAAACAUUUAGUAAAUAUUUAAGUCAUUUGGCUGCAUUAUUAAUUCAAUAUUUUGUAUUUGUACUGUGUAACUUUUUCUUUCUUUUUUUUUUUUUUAGCAGACAGGUAACAACAGCCUUGUGGUACAGCAGAUGCAAGGUAGUAAGUGUGACACCUUGCUCUCUACUUUCGUCGGUCUGAGCAGACCAAAUGUCAGGAAGUGAAGUCAUUUCCUGCCCCAGGGUGGAAAGUUGCCUCAGAGUAGAAGACCCCUACAUUGUUUCUUCUUCUUUUGUAUAUUAUUAGAUAUGAAAAGAUUUGAAGAUUCCAAGUGACAUUUAAAGAUGGUCUGAAAUCAGGUUUGUGGUGUGUGACUGUAAAUCAUGCUACGUAAAUUUAGAAUACAGGGAUGCCCAAAACCAGUGCAACAGAAAUAUAAUACUGAGCAAUUUUUUUUUUUUUUUUUACAGUUUUACUAUUUGAUUUGAUUUUUACUGCACUGUAUUCAUCUGAUGGCCUUAAUAAUUAACCUGGAGUUGUACACCAAUAGUGAAUGUACAUAGUGAUGAUUAACUCAUUGAGGCUAAAGUCUCCUUUUCAGCUGGACUCUAUUAAAAAAAAGCAAAUAUGGAGCACAGAUGAGACAAACAAAAUAUAAUUAUAAAAUAGGCAAUAUAGUUGAAAAGCUUCAACUAAAAAUACAGUAACCUAACUAGCUAAAAGUGACCUAAACUGAGUAAAUGGUAAAAGAGUUUAAGAGUCAUUUGACAUCAGUAAUGAGGAAAUUGAAACAUUAAAAUCUGACCUAUGAUGUGAUCAUUUAUGCUGAUAUUUACUUCUAAAGGUUACAACAGACCAAAUAAAAUGGUAAGCUAUACUGGAAACUUUUUCCAAGUACUAUAAAUGAAAACAUGGUAUGUUGUCUCAGCAGUAACAAAACACAAUGCAUUGUGGUUUGAAACCUCCAAGUGACUUCCCUACUGAAACAGCAGCGCUCAUAUAAAUUUUGUCCUUAAUCACAAAUCCUCGGAAGUCGUUUUAUACAGCUAUUGCGACAGAAGAAAUGAGGACCAAAAAAAGCAGCGAAGUCCAUCUGCUCCAGCCGCGAGCGCCAUGAACGCUUCCUCCCUGAGAUGGACACCUCCAGCGUCCGCCCACUAGGGUUGCCACCUUUAACCCUGAGGUCAGGGGCUGAGGUGAAGAUGCUCAUAGUGUUCCAGUGUUGCAUCUGUCUUCAUUUUAUUAACUGCCUGGAACAUCCUUAACCCCUGGAUCACUGCCUCCCAACAAUCCCUUAUAAACACAAAUAAUAACACACACACACACACACACACACACACAAAUGUCUUACAAUCCUUGUAAGAAUCCUUGUUCCACUGACGUAAUUAUUAAUGCAGCUAAUUAAUACUAUGCCUACAUCUAUCCUAACAUUAACAUUUAAAAGGAAAUAUUUAGCCUCUUUUAAAUAAACACACACACACACACACACACACACACAAUGAAACAUCAAAAUGUACAACUAUAUUUUUAUGAUUCUGAGUCUAGCUGUCUAGAGAGAAGCCCCAUAUUUCUGCAUAUCCAAAAGUGGUAUAAUAUGUCAUGAGAAUUUUAAAAGUAAUGCACAAUUUAAAAAAGACAUUUUUUUUUAGAUUUAGUUGUUUUGUUGGCCUUUGAGAUCUGGAACUGUUUAUCUCGGUGACUUUGAGCAAACUAACACUCAGCAGAACACUGCUAUUUUCCAGUCAUACUUUAAAUAGCCCUUGUGGUUACCAAUAUGGAUAAUGAAUAACAUUAAAACAUGAAUUGAAUAUGUAGGUUGAGUAUAUUGAAUGUAGCAUGAUGAGGAUGUAAGAAAUUCAUAAUUAAAGAGACAGACCUAAAAUAAGAGCUGUAGUACUACCAUACAAGGUCAGAGACAAGUAUAAGAAAAGAAGAAGAAGAAGAAGAGUGAGAGA
Molecule: long non-coding RNA, 6660 nt
Organism: Pangasianodon hypophthalmus (striped catfish)
Lineage: Eukaryota; Metazoa; Chordata; Actinopteri; Siluriformes; Pangasiidae
Exons: 3
Source: RefSeq, a predicted model, not a curated record